This 117-nucleotide non-coding RNA is filed under the name Nomascus leucogenys (northern white-cheeked gibbon). The record is from Rfam by way of RNAcentral. Lineage: Eukaryota; Metazoa; Chordata; Mammalia; Primates; Hylobatidae.
GCUGGGUGUGGUGGCUCACACCUGUAAUCCCAGUACUUUGGGAGGCCGAGGUGGGAGGAUCACCUGAGGUCAGGAGUUUGAGACCAUCCUGGCCAACAGGGUGAAACCCCGUCUCUA